RNAcentral lists this ribosomal RNA (599 nucleotides) under uncultured archaeon. RNAcentral describes it as "bacterial SSU rRNA". It matches the Rfam family "Archaeal small subunit ribosomal RNA", at positions 1 to 566 of the family's 1478-position model. The record is from RNAcentral.
UUCGCCCUUUUCCGGUUGAUCCCGCCGGACCCCACUGCUAUCGGGAUAGGACUAAGACAUGCAAGUCAAGCGCUUUCUAGCUAAUGUGAGAGCGCGGCGUACAGCUCAGUAACACGUGGCCAACCUGCCCUUGGGACGGGAACACCCCCGGGAAACUGGGGUUAAUUCCCGAUAGGUGAAGAAGUCUGGAAUGACUCUUCGCUCAAAAGACGUUUAUGUCAUGCUCAUAUUCGUCGCCCAGGGAUGGGGCCGCGACCGAUCAGGUUGUUGGUGAGGCAAUGGCUCACCAAGCCUUUUACCGGUGCGGGCCGUGAGAGCGGGAGCCCGGAGAUGGGCACUGAGACAAAGGCCCAGGCCCCACGGGGCGCAGCAGUCGCGAAAAUUUUGCAAUACACGAAAGUGUGACAGAGCUAUCCCGAGUGCCAUCCGCUGAGGAAGGCUUUUACCCAGUAUAAAUAGCUGGGAGAAUAAGGAGAGGGCAAGUCUGGUGUCAGCCGCCGCGGUAAUACCAGCUCUCCGAGUAGUGUGGACGUUUAUUGGGCCUAAAGCAUCCGUAGCUUGCUAGAUAAGUCCUCUGUUAAAUCCACCGAUCCAAUCGU